CGGUAUGCUUAACACAUGCAAGUCGAACGAAAAGGAAGAGCUUGCUCUUCCUGAAAGUGGCGAACGGGUGAGUAACGCGUGGGUAACCUACCCUUUGGAAAGGAAUAGCCUCGGGAAACUGGGAGUAAUGCCUUAUAAGAUACGCUUGUCGCAUGGCAUUUGUACUAAACGCUCCGGCGCCAUAGGAUGGACCCGCGUCCCAUUAGCUAGUUGGUGAGAUAACAGCUCACCAAGGCCACGAUGGGUAACCGGUCUGAGAGGGCGAACGGUCACACUGGAACUGAGACACGGUCCAGACUCCUACGGGAGGCAGCAGUGGGGAAUAUUGCGCAAUGGGGGCAACCCUGACGCAGCAAUACCGCGUGAGUGAAGAAGGUUUUCGGAUCGUAAAGCUCUGUUAUUGGGGAAGAAAAAAAGACGGUACCCAAGAAGAAAGUUCCGGCUAACUACGUGCCAGCAGCCGCGGUAAUACGUAGGGAACAAGCGUUGUCCGGAUUUACUGGGCGUAAAGGGCACGCAGGCGGUUUUUUAAGUCAGAUGUGAAAGGCCACAGCUCAACUGUGGCACAUGCGGUAUGCUUAACACAUGCAAGUCGAACGAAAAGGAAGAGCUUGCUCUUCCUGAAAGUGGCGAACGGGUGAGUAACGCGUGGGUAACCUACCCUUUGGAAAGGAAUAGCCUCGGGAAACUGGGAGUAAUGCCUUAUAAGAUACGCUUGUCGCAUGGCAUUUGUACUAAACGCUCCGGCGCCAUAGGAUGGACCCGCGUCCCAUUAGCUAGUUGGUGAGAUAACAGCUCACCAAGGCCACGAUGGGUAACCGGUCUGAGAGGGCGAACGGUCACACUGGAACUGAGACACGGUCCAGACUCCUACGGGAGGCAGCAGUGGGGAAUAUUGCGCAAUGGGGGCAACCCUGACGCAGCAAUACCGCGUGAGUGAAGAAGGUUUUCGGAUCGUAAAGCUCUGUUAUUGGGGAAGAAAAAAAGACGGUACCCAAGAAGAAAGUUCCGGCUAACUACGUGCCAGCAGCCGCGGUAAUACGUAGGGAACAAGCGUUGUCCGGAUUUACUGGGCGUAAAGGGCACGCAGGCGGUUUUUUAAGUCAGAUGUGAAAGGCCACAGCUCAACUGUGGCACAUG
This 1140-nucleotide ribosomal RNA is filed under the name uncultured bacterium. RNAcentral describes it as "bacterial SSU rRNA". The stretch from base 543 to 1140 matches the Rfam family "Bacterial small subunit ribosomal RNA", at positions 1 to 625 of the family's 1533-position model. The record is from RNAcentral.